GUGUCAGCAGCCGCGGUAAAACGUAGGAGACAAACGUUAUCCGGAGUUACUGGGCGUAAAGGGCGUGCAGGCGGUCUGUUAAGUCUGGCGUGAAAGCUCUCGGCUAAACCGGGAGAGGUCGUUGGAUACUGACGGACUAGAGGACGGUAGAGGCGUGUGGAAUUCCGGGUGUAGUGGUGAAAUGCGUAGAGAUCCGGAGGAACACCAGUGGCGAAGGCGACACGCUGGGCCGUACCUGACGCUAAGACGCGACAGCAUGGGGAGCGAACGGGAUUAGAAACCCUCGUAGUCC
This 292-nucleotide ribosomal RNA is filed under the name uncultured bacterium. RNAcentral describes it as "partial 16S ribosomal RNA". It matches the Rfam family "Bacterial small subunit ribosomal RNA", at positions 505 to 796 of the family's 1533-position model. The record is from RNAcentral.